ACGGUACCGUAAGAAUAAGCACCGGCUAACUACGUGCCAGCAGCCGCGGUAAUACGUAGGGUGCAAGCGUUAAUCGGAAUUACUGGGCGUAAAGCGUGCGCAGGCGGUUAUAUAAGACAGAUGUGAAAUCCCCGGGCUCAACCUGGGAACUGCAUUUGUGACUGUAUGGCUAGAGUACGGCAGAGGGGGAUGGAAUUCCGCGUGUAGCAGUGAAAUGCGUAGAUAUGCGGAGGAACACCGAUGGCGAAGGCAAUCCCCUGGGCCUGUACUGACGCUCAUGCACGAAAGCGUGGGGAGCAAACAGGAUUAGAUACCCUGGUAGUCCACGCCCUAAACGAUGUCAACUGGUUGUUGGGUCUUCACUGACUCAGUAACGAAGCUAACGCGUGAAGUUGACCGCCUGGGGAGUACGGCCGCAAGGUUGAAACUCAAGGGAAUUGACGGGGACCCGCACAAGCGGUGGAUGAUGUGGUUUAAUUCGAUGCAACGCGAAAAACCUUACCCACCUUUGACAUGUACGGAAUUUGCCAGAGAUGGCUUAGUGCUCGAAAG
RNAcentral lists this ribosomal RNA (552 nucleotides) under uncultured bacterium. RNAcentral's name for it is "bacterial SSU rRNA". It matches the Rfam family "Bacterial small subunit ribosomal RNA", at positions 472 to 1024 of the family's 1533-position model. The record is from RNAcentral.